AUGUGUACACACACACACCACCCUCCCCAUCACUACCACACACACACAUUCACCACCACCACUCAUUACACACAUACUCCCAUACACACUCUCCUCCACCACACACAUACACCACACACCACACAAACACCACCAUCACCACUACACACCACUCACCACUACUCACUCACACACACACACACCCCCAGCACACAAACAUACCAUCACCACUACACACAUUCAACACCACCACUCACCACACACACACCCCCCACACAAACAUACUAUCACCACCACUACACACAUUCAACACCAUCACUCACCACACACACACACCCCCCACAAACAUACCAUCACCACCACUACACACACACAUUCACCACCACCACUCACCACACACACACACCCCACACCACACAAACAUACCAUCACCACCACUACACACAUUCACCACCACUUACCACACACACACCACACAAACAUACCAUCACCACCACACACACACACCCCACCACACAAACAUACCAUCACCACCACACACACACACACACCACCACACAAACAUACCAUCACCACCACACACACACACACACCCCACCACACAAACAUACCAUCACCACUCACACACACACAUCCACCACCACCACUCACCACACCACACACAUUCAACACCACGACUCACCACACACACACACACACACACACCACACAAACAUACCAUCACCACCACACACACACACACACACCACCACACAAACAUACCUCAUCACCACUACACACACACAUUCACCACCACCACUCACCACACACCACACACAUUCAACACCACGACUCACCACACACACCACACAAACAUACCACCACUACACACACACACACACACCACACACACAUACCAUCACCACUACACACACACAUUCACCACCACCACUCACCACACACAUCCAACACCACCACUCACCACACACACACAGCCCACACCACACACACCACACAAACACCACCAUCACCACUACACACACACACAUUCACCACCACUCACUCACACACACAUUUCUUCCUCUACCUCAAACACACACAUAA
RNAcentral lists this long non-coding RNA (1062 nucleotides) under Papio anubis (olive baboon). RNAcentral describes it as "lncRNA (ENSPANG00000048965.1)". The record is from RNAcentral. Lineage: Eukaryota; Metazoa; Chordata; Mammalia; Primates; Cercopithecidae.